UACAGAGUUUUCUAAACUCCCAACCCUAUGUGAACUUACCUUUGUUGCUUCGGCGGCGGAGGCUACCCUGCGGGAGAAUACCACUUAGUGGUUAUCUUGUAGUUUCAGGUACAUCAGCUACCCGGUAGUCAUCCCCGCCGGCGGCCAACUAAACUCUGUUUUCUUUGGAAUUCUGAAUAACAAACUUAAUAAGUUAAAACUUUCAACAACGGAUCUCUUGGUUCUGGCAUCGAUGAAGAACGCAGCGAAAUGCGAUAAGUAAUGUGAAUUGCAGAAUUCAGUGAAUCAUCGAAUCUUUGAACGCACAUUGCGCCCAUUAGCAUUCUAGUGGGCAUGCCUGUUCGAGCGUCAUUUCACCACUUAAGCCCUGUUGCUUAGCGUUGGGAGCCUACGGCACGGCCCGUAGCUCCUUAAAGUGAUUGGCGGAGUUGGUUCUCACUCUAAGCGUAGUAACUAUAUCUCGCUUCUGUAGUGGUCCCGGCCCCUGCCGUAAAACCCCUUAUACAAAGGUUGACCUCGGAUCAGGUAGGAAUACCCGCUGAACUUAAGCAUAUCAAUAAGCGGAGGAAAAGAAACCAACAGGGAUUGCCCUAGUAACGGCGAGUGAAGCGGCAACAGCUCAAAUUUGAAAUCUGGCUCUAGGGCCCGAGUUGUAAUUUGCAGAGGAUGAUUUUGGCGC
This 679-nucleotide ribosomal RNA is filed under the name fungal endophyte. RNAcentral describes it as "eukaryotic LSU rRNA". The stretch from base 198 to 351 matches the Rfam family "5.8S ribosomal RNA". Lineage: Eukaryota; Fungi. The record is from RNAcentral.